AAGCUUGCUUCUCUGCUGACGAGCGGCGGACGGGUGAGUAAGACUUGGGAAUUUGCCUUUAGGCGGGGGACAACCACUGGAAACGGUGGCUAAUACCGCAUAAUGUCUACGGACCAAAGUGGGGGACCUUCGGGCCUCACACCUAAAGAUGAGCCCAAGCGGGAUUAGCUAGUUGGUGGGGUAAAGGCUCACCAAGGCGACGAUCCCUAGCUGUUCUGAGAGGAUGAUCAGCCACACUGGGACUGAGACACGGCCCAAACUCCUACGGGAGGCAGCAGUGGGGAAUAUUGCACAAUGGGGGAAACCCUGAUGCAGCCAUGCCGCGUGUGUGAAGAAGGCCUUCGGGUUGUAAAGCACUUUCAGUGGUGAGGAAAGGGUGAUAGUUAAUAGCUAUCACAGUUGACGUUAGCCACAGAAGAAGCACCGGCUAACUCCGUGCCAGCAGCCGCGGUAAUACGGAGGGUGCAAGCGUUAAUCGGAAUUACUGGGCGUAAAGCGUACGUAGGCGGUGUGUUAAGCUAGAUGUGAAAGCCCCGGGCUCAACCUGGGAAUAGCAUUUAGAACUGGCACGCUAGAGUCCUGAAAGAGGGUGGUAGAAUUUCCAGUGUACCGGUGAAAUGCGUAAAUAUUGGAAGGAAUACCGGUGGCGAAGGCGGCCACCUG
This 663-nucleotide ribosomal RNA is filed under the name Idiomarina zobellii. Its description in RNAcentral is "bacterial SSU rRNA". It matches the Rfam family "Bacterial small subunit ribosomal RNA", at positions 76 to 731 of the family's 1533-position model. The record is from RNAcentral. Lineage: Bacteria; Pseudomonadati; Pseudomonadota; Gammaproteobacteria; Alteromonadales; Idiomarinaceae.